GGAUGUGAAGUGAUCUGGUGGAGAGGUCUGCCACCCCACUGACCACCAGGGUUGAUGUGGCUGAUAAUGUCAGUCAGCUAGUCAAUCAGUCAGUCAGCUAGUCAAUCAGUCAGUCAGCUAGGCAGUCAGCUAAGCCGAUGUCCCUUCCUUUCUUCCCACUCCAUGUGCAUCCCUCCCAAAGCUGUGCACCUGUCAGUGAGGACAACCUGCCUGGACAGAGGAACAUUCUUCGCUCAAGGGAACACAGGUAGCUGUGGUCCUCACCAGAACCUGCAGACAAGCUCUCAAGAAACCAAAGAUCAUAUGCAACAGAAUCCUAGCUUAAAGUCCCAAACCAGGCGACGCUG
Non-coding RNA from Rattus norvegicus (Norway rat), 347 nucleotides. Lineage: Eukaryota; Metazoa; Chordata; Mammalia; Rodentia; Muridae. The record is from Rfam.